GACGAACGCUGGCGGCGUGCUUAACACAUGCAAGUCGAACGGAAAGGCCCCGCUUUUGUGGGGUGCUCGAGUGGCGAACGGGUGAGUAACACGUGAGUAACCUGCCCUUGACUUUGGGAUAACUUCAGGAAACUGGGGCUAAUACCGGAUAGGAGCUCCUGCUGCAUGGUGGGGGUUGGAAAGUUUCGGCGGUUGGGGAUGGACUCGCGGCUUAUCAGCUUGUUGGUGGGGUAGUGGCUUACCAAGGCUUUGACGGGUAGCCGGCCUGAGAGGGUGACCGGCCACAAUGGGACUGAGAUACGGCCCAGACUCCUACGGGAGGCAGCAGGGGGGAAUAUUGCACAAUGGGCGGAAGCCUGAUGCAGCAACGCCGCGUGCGGGAUGACGGCCUUCGGGUUGUAAACCGCUUUCGCCUGUGACGAAGCGUGAGUGACGGUAAUGGGUAAAGAAGCACCGGCUAACUACGUG
This 468-nucleotide ribosomal RNA is filed under the name uncultured bacterium. RNAcentral describes it as "partial 16S ribosomal RNA". It matches the Rfam family "Bacterial small subunit ribosomal RNA", at positions 28 to 507 of the family's 1533-position model. The record is from RNAcentral.